This 362-nucleotide RNase P RNA is filed under the name Tannerella sp. RNAcentral describes it as "RNase P RNA component class A". It matches the Rfam family "Bacterial RNase P class A". Rfam says of the family: Ribonuclease P (RNase P) is a ubiquitous endoribonuclease, found in archaea, bacteria and eukarya as well as chloroplasts and mitochondria. Its best characterised activity is the generation of mature 5'-ends of tRNAs by cleaving the 5'-leader elements of precursor-tRNAs. Lineage: Bacteria; Pseudomonadati; Bacteroidota; Bacteroidia; Bacteroidales; Tannerellaceae. The record is from RNAcentral.
GCAGCAGGCCGGUCUGUCGCCCGUCUCCGCAGAGACGGGAGGAAAGUCCGGGCAACACAGAGCGCCAUCCUUCCUAACGGGAAGCUGUUUGCGAGGACAGAGUAGCGUAACAGAAAAGAACCGCCCUGUGAAAACAGGGUAAGGGUGAAAAGGUGAGGUAAGAGCUUACCGCUCCCGUCGGAAUACGGGAGGACCGUACGCCUGAUGGGUUGUAAGGUCAUGUAUACCGGCGCAGCAGGACGGCUCGUCCGAUGCCGGGGGGUAGACCGCAGGAGCGCGUCGGCAACGGCGCGCGAAGAUCAAUGACAGACACUGCCGCGGCUGCGGCAGUACAGAACCCGGCUUACAGGCCGGCUGCAUUU